This 28-nucleotide small RNA is filed under the name Bombyx mori (domestic silkworm). Its description in RNAcentral is "ovarian small RNA-15559". Lineage: Eukaryota; Metazoa; Arthropoda; Insecta; Lepidoptera; Bombycidae. The record is from RNAcentral.
GACGAUGUGAUUUGUGUGCGGGUUUCGG